Molecule: unclassified non-coding RNA, 352 nt
Filed under: soil metagenome
Description: partial contains 5.8S ribosomal RNA, internal transcribed spacer 2, and large subunit ribosomal RNA
Rfam family: 5.8S ribosomal RNA (bases 1-120)
Source: RNAcentral
GAUGAAGAACGCAGCGAAAUGCGAUAAGCAAUGUGAAUUGCAGAAUUCAGUGAAUCAUCGAAUCUUUGAACGCACAUUGCGCCCGCCAGUAUUCUGGCGGGCAUGCCUGUUCGAGCGUCAUUACAACCCUCAGGCCCCCGGGCCUGGCGUUGGGGAUCGGCGGAGCCCCCCGUGGGCACACGCCGUCCCCCAAAUACAGUGGCGGUCCCGCCGCAGCUUCCAUCGCGUAGUAGCUAACACCUCGCGACUGGAGAGCGGCGCGGCCACGCCGUAAAACACCCAACUCUUCUGAAGUUGACCUCGAAUCAGGUAGGAAUACCCGCUGAACUUAAGCAUAUCAAUAAGCGGAGGA